RNAcentral lists this ribosomal RNA (1030 nucleotides) under Ophiocordyceps camponoti-balzani. RNAcentral's name for it is "SSU rRNA". It matches the Rfam family "Eukaryotic small subunit ribosomal RNA", at positions 74 to 1115 of the family's 1831-position model. The record is from RNAcentral. Lineage: Eukaryota; Fungi; Ascomycota; Sordariomycetes; Hypocreales; Ophiocordycipitaceae.
CUAUACGGCGAAACUGCGAACGGCUCAUUAUAUAAGUUAUCGUUUAUUUGAUAGCACCUUGCUACUUGGGUAACCGUGGUAAUUCUAGAGCUAAUACAUGCUAAAAAUCCCGACUUCGGAAGGGAUGUGUUUAUUAGAUUCAAAACCAAUGCCCUCUGGGCUCACUGGUGAUUCAUGAUAACCGCUCGAAUCGCACGGCCUUGCGCUGGCGAUGGUUCAUUCAAAUUUCUUCCCUAUCAACUUUCGAUGUUUGGGUAGUGGCCAAACAUGGUUGCAACGGGUAACGGAGGGUUAGGGCUCGACCCCGGAGAAGGAGCCUGAGAAACGGCUACUACAUCCAAGGAAGGCAGCAGGCGCGCAAAUUACCCAAUCCCGACACGGGGAGGUAGUGACAAUAAAUACCGAUAUAGGGCUCUUUUGGGUCUUAUAAUUGGAAUGAGUACAAUUUAAAUCCCUUAACGAGGAACAAUUGGAGGGCAAGUCUGGUGCCAGCAGCCGCGGUAAUUCCAGCUCCAAUAGCGUAUAUUAAAGUUGUUGUGGUUAAAAAGCUCGUAGUUGAACCUUGGGCCUGGCUGGCCGGUCCGCCUCACCGCGUGCACUGGUCCGGCCGGGCCUUUCCCUCCGCGGAACCCCAUGCCCUUCGCUGGGCGUGGCGGGGAAACGGGACUUUUACUUUGAAAAAAUUAGAGUGCUCCAGGCAGGCCUAUGCUCGAAUACAUUAGCAUGGAAUAAUGAAAUAGGACGCGCGGUUCUAUUUUGUUGGUUUCUAGGACCGCCGUAAUGAUUGAUAGGGACAGUCGGGGGCGUCAGUAUUCAACCGUCAGAGGUGAAAUUCUUGGACCGGUUGAAGACUAACUACUGCGAAAGCAUUCGCCAAGGAUGUUUUCAUUAAUCAGGAACGAAAGCUAGGGGAUCGAAGACGAUCAGAUACCGUCGUAGUCUUAGCCAUAAACUAUGCCGACUAGGGAUCGGGCGAUGUUAUUCUUUGACUCGCUCGGCACCUUCCGAGAAAUCAAAGUGCUUGGGCUCC